Molecule: long non-coding RNA, 516 nt
Filed under: Salmo salar (Atlantic salmon)
Lineage: Eukaryota; Metazoa; Chordata; Actinopteri; Salmoniformes; Salmonidae
Description: lncRNA (ENSSSAG00000118964.1)
Source: RNAcentral
UUUGCCGAAAGGAGGACAGGUGAUGGAUGAUCUUAUACCCAUGUCGAAAAGAGAGAGCCCUCUUCCUAUCCACUCGAUGAACUGUAAAACCUGCUGGUUGUAUAUAAUCUGUUUGGAUGUCGGAGGAAAGCCAAGUCUCAGAAAAAGGGAGUAUGUUGCAGAAUCUGAUGUCCCUCUGGAAGGAGACCCUCAGGGACAUCACUGGCUUGGCGUGCUAAGACAUGGUGGAGAAUACAGAAGAGGUUCUGUCAGGGUCUGCUGGUUGUGUCAACAAGAUAACACAGUUUCAGGAGGGAGAUCAGGAGACAGACCAGUAGAAAGACCAGGGCCUGCUCCAGACAGAUAAAAGCAGGGAAUACCAACCUCCUCUUCCUCCCUGGAUGCGCCGCCUCUAGAAUGGAGAUGUGCAACAUCCAACCACAGCUUUCCUUGGGACCGGUCUGCCUCCUCUCCCCUCCACCCAUCCCAAAUCCUACUCCUUCCCUUAUCCCUCAUCUCUCAUGCUGCAGGUCUCCC